Molecule: ribosomal RNA, 497 nt
Filed under: uncultured bacterium
Lineage: Bacteria
Description: partial 16S ribosomal RNA
Rfam family: Bacterial small subunit ribosomal RNA
Source: RNAcentral
GAUGAACGCUGGCGGCGUGCCUAAUACAUGCAAGUCGAGCGAACAGGCGAGGAGCUUGCUCCUCUGACGUUAGCGGCGGACGGGUGAGUAACACGUGGAUAACCUACCUAUAAGACUGGGAUAACUUCGGGAAACCGGAGCUAAUACCGGAUAAUAUAUUGAACCGCAUGGUUCAAUAGUGAAGGACGGUUUUGCUGUCACUUAUAGAUGGAUCCGCGCCGCAUUAGCUAGUUGGUAAGGUAACGGCUUACCAAGGCGACGAUGCGUAGCCGACCUGAGAGGGUGAUCGGCCACACUGGAACUGAGACACGGCCCAGACUCCUACGGGAGGCAGCAGUAGGGAAUCUUCCGCAAUGGGCGAAAGCCUGACGGAGCAACGCCGCGUGAGUGAUGAAGGUCUUCGGAUCGUAAAACUCUGUUAUUAGGGAAGAACAAAUGUGUAAGUAACUAUGCACGUCUUGACGGUACCUAAUCAGAAAGCCACGGCUAACUACGUG